GUAGGUGGCAAGCGUUGUCCGGGAAUUAUUGGGCGUAAAGCGCGCGCAGGCGGUUCUUUAAGUCUGAUGUGAAAGCCCACGGGCUCAACCGUGGAGGGUCACUGGAAACUGGAGAACUUGAGUACAGAAGAGGAAAGCGGAAUUCCACGUGUAGCGGUGAAAUGCGUAGAGAUGUGGAGGAACACCAGUGGCGAAGGCGGCUUUCUGGUCUGUAACUGACGCUGAGGCGCGAAAGCGUGGGGAGCAAACAGGAUUAGAUACCCUGGUAGUCCACGCCGUAAACGAUGAGUGCUAAGUGUUAGGGGGUUUCCGCCCCUUAGUGCUGCAGCUAACGCAUUAAGCACUCCGCCUGGGGAGUACGGCCGCAAAGGCUG
RNAcentral lists this ribosomal RNA (374 nucleotides) under uncultured organism. RNAcentral describes it as "partial 16S ribosomal RNA". It matches the Rfam family "Bacterial small subunit ribosomal RNA", at positions 527 to 896 of the family's 1533-position model. The record is from RNAcentral.